GGCCGUGUGGUCUAGUAGCAUGAUACCUCCUUCGGGUUCGAAACCCGGGCUUUACACAGCCCAGCAUGGAGGUGGUCCUGGGUUCAAUUCCCAGCUCGGCCC
Molecule: non-coding RNA, 102 nt
Organism: Asterophora parasitica
Lineage: Eukaryota; Fungi; Basidiomycota; Agaricomycetes; Agaricales; Lyophyllaceae
Source: the annotation of a GenBank genome assembly